CCUACGGGUGGCAGCAGUGGGGAAUAUUGGGCAAUGGGCGCAAGCCUGACCCAGCAACGCCGCGUGAAGGAAGAAGGCUUUCGGGUUGUAAACCUCUUUUCUCAGGGACGAAGCAAGUGACGGUACCUGAGUAAUAAGCCACGCCGAACUACGUGCCAGCAGCCGCGGUAAUACGUUGGUGGCAAGCGUGAUCCGGAUUUACUGGGUGUAAAGGGCGUGUAGGCGGGGACGUAAGUCAGAUGUGAAAACCACGGGGCCCAACUGUGGCCUGCAUUUGAAACUGUGUUUCUUGAGUACUGGAGAGGCAGGCGGAAUUCCUAGUGUAGCGGUGAAAUGCGUAGAUAUUAGGAGGAACACCAGUGGCGAAGGCGGUCUGCUGGACAGCAACUGACGCUGAGGCGCGAAAGCGUGGGGAGCGAACAGGAUUAGAUACCCCAGUAGUC
RNAcentral lists this ribosomal RNA (443 nucleotides) under uncultured bacterium. RNAcentral describes it as "partial 16S ribosomal RNA". It matches the Rfam family "Bacterial small subunit ribosomal RNA", at positions 338 to 795 of the family's 1533-position model. The record is from RNAcentral.